AAUAUGAAUAUAUUUCAAAAAAACUAAAAAAAACCUGUCUCCACGCCGAAGCCACUUCCAAGCACACCCAACGCCUCACUUAUCUUACAUCCUACGUCUCACUUUUACCGAACUACCCUUCUCUUACCACUGACAACACGGCCUCUCAGGUCCAAGGCAACCGCAUCAUUUUUCUCUCUCUCUCUACAGCGCAGUCCCAGUCCCGUACGCGAAGGCGCGGAAAGGCUCCACCGCCUCGCCUGUCGGCCUCCAGCGACGACCGCACCACCCCUCGCACCACUGCACUGACUGACUUGUGGGGCGAGGCUCCCGGGCCCGCUUGCAAGUGAUGCGGGUGCAAAUUUGCAGGUUCGCUGGGAGACGACGUGGCGCCGCGCGCGGCGCGUAGCUGUGCAGGGGGUGGUGGCGAGUAGGGACUAGGGAGGGUCGUGGGUGGGCCCGGAUUGUUUUUUUCCUUAUUUUACGUGGUUCAUUCCGCCGUUUAAAAGGGAGCCGGACCGCCACGCCGUGGCUUUCGUUCGUCUCCACGCCCCUCUCAUUCGCACCGCUCCCACCCACAUCCUCUUCGCCUCUCUGAGUCUCUCUCUCUCUCUCUCUCUGCACGCCUCCGCUCCGCGUGUGCUUCCGUUCGGCGGUGGUUUCAUCUCGCGGAGGCAGCAGACCACAGCGCCAGCAGCCAUGACCGCGGCCGACGGGGAGUCCUGCGCGGUGGUCGCGACGGCCGCCGACAUCAUCUGCUCUCUCCGUGGUGCGGACCUCGCCGGCUGGACCCCGCCGUGGCGCAAGCACGAGGCCGCCUGCGACGGCGUCCGUGAGGAGGAGGGCGGUGGCGGCGACGAGGCGCGUGAUCUGGCCUGGCCGGCGGUGGCGCGCGGGAAGCGCUCGCGGUCCCGGCGCGAGUCCCCGUCGGCCUCGGGCUCCGCCGCCUCCGCCGACGCGAAGAAGAAGAAGAAGGCGAGGCGAGGGGUCCGCGGCAGCCCCGCGUCACCCCUCGACUACAGCGGCGUGUCCGGGUCCGGCGCGUCCACCAGCGGCGGCGAGGACGGUGCCUUCUGCUUCCAGCCAGAGCCAGCGUUCCCGCCGGCCGCCGCGUGCCAGCUCGCGGAGCCCGCCGUGCUUCCACCCCCGCCCCCGCCCCCCAGCGAGGUGGGUGGCCUCGCCGGACGGCGGACGAUCCUCCCGGUGCCGCCACCUCGGCCCGCCGGACAGCGGGCGCGGAAGAAGAUGAGGCUCCCGGAGAUCCAGCAGAUGGUGCGGUCGCUGUCGGUGGAGAACGAUGCCCUCCGCAAGACGAUGAAGGAGCUGCAGAGGGCUUGCACGGCGCUGUCCCAAGAAAACGGCAAGCUAGAGACGAGGCUCGAUCAGUCCACUACGCUAAACGAAGCAGUCUCCGUGGAGAACAAGGGGAAGCCGCAGCCCCAGCGUCAGCGCGCAGCUGAGCAGGAAGCUCCGAGCGGCUUCGUGCUCCCUGACCUCAACCUCCCGGCAGACGUCUGACGGCUGCCUGAAUCUGUCGAUCGGUGGCCAGAUCGAGCUAUAGCACGCUAACCUCAUAGCUAAACUGUACAUAGAAGAAGAAGCUGCGCCAGAAGGAGGGGGGUGGGGUUCUGAACGGCCACACUUACCAGGAUACUGAGGCAGAAGAAGAACGGAGGUUAUCUUUGUGUCAUAAGUUGUCGACGUUUAGGGUUUAGAGCCGUCGUGAUCGUAUCCUCCGGCCUGAACAACGUUGUUUUAUGUUCAGAGCGGAGGACCCGACUUUUACGUUUACCUCGCUCACGUUUUCUGUCGACGACGUUCUUUAGUAGUGCCCCCGCGCAUCGGUGUGGAUGGACGCGCAGUGGGAUAUAUAUGUGUUUCCAGGUAGUUGGAGAUUCGAAACGAACCAGUGAUGUAGAUUUGUUUCAUCUAAAUAUAUGCUAUAGUUCAAAACU
RNA transcript from Zea mays, 1934 nucleotides. RefSeq lists it as uncharacterized. The transcript is spliced from 6 exons. Lineage: Eukaryota; Viridiplantae; Streptophyta; Magnoliopsida; Poales; Poaceae. The record is from RefSeq and is marked predicted.